Molecule: ribosomal RNA, 466 nt
Filed under: uncultured bacterium
Lineage: Bacteria
Description: partial 16S ribosomal RNA
Rfam family: Bacterial small subunit ribosomal RNA
Source: RNAcentral
GAUGAACGCUGGCGGCGUGCUUAACACAUGCAAGUCGAACGAUGAAGCCCAGCUUGCUGGGUGGAUUAGUGGCGAACGGGUGAGUAACACGUGAGUAACCUGCCCUUAACUCUGGGAUAAGCCUGGGAAACUGGGUCUAAUACCGGAUAGGAGCGUCCACCGCAUGGUGGGUGUUGGAAAGAUUUAUCGGUUUUGGAUGGACUCGCGGCCUAUCAGCUUGUUGGUGAGGUAAUGGCUCACCAAGGCGACGACGGGUAGCCGGCCUGAGAGGGUGACCGGCCACACUGGGACUGAGACACGGCCCAGACUCCUACGGGAGGCAGCGGUGGGGAAUAGUGCAGAGUGGGCGCAAGCCUGAUGCAGCGACGCCGCGUGAGGGAUGACGGCCUUCGGGUUGUAAACCUCUUUCAGUAGGGAAGAAGCGAAAGUGACGGUACCUGCAGAAGAAGCACCGGCUAACUACGUG